This 253-nucleotide ribosomal RNA is filed under the name uncultured Eubacteriales bacterium. RNAcentral describes it as "uncultured Clostridiales bacterium partial 16S ribosomal RNA". It matches the Rfam family "Bacterial small subunit ribosomal RNA", at positions 524 to 776 of the family's 1533-position model. Lineage: Bacteria; Bacillati; Bacillota; Clostridia; Eubacteriales. The record is from RNAcentral.
UACGUAGGGGGCAAGCGUUAUCCGGAUUUACUGGGUGUAAAGGGAGCGUAGACGGCGAUGCAAGUCUGAAGUGAAAGGCGGGGGCCCAACCCCCGGACUGCUUUGGAAACUGUAUGGCUGGAGUGCAGGAGAGGUAAGUGGAAUUCCUAGUGUAGCGGUGAAAUGCGUAGAUAUUAGGAGGAACACCAGUGGCGAAGGCGGCCUGCUGGACGAUGACUGACGUUGAGGCUCGAAAGCGUGGGUAUCGAACAGG